Molecule: ribosomal RNA, 497 nt
Filed under: uncultured bacterium
Lineage: Bacteria
Description: partial 16S ribosomal RNA
Rfam family: Bacterial small subunit ribosomal RNA
Source: RNAcentral
GAUGAACGCUGGCGGCGUGCCUAACACAUGCAAGUCGAGCGAACGCACUAGAAGCUUCCGUUUCUGAUGUUUGCGGCGCACGUGUGAGUAACACGUGGAUAACUUACCUAUAAGACUGUGAUAACUUCGGGAAAGCGGUACUAAUACCGGCUAAUAUUUUGAACCGCAUGGUUCAAAUGUGAAAGCCGGCCGUGCUGUUACUGAUUGAUGGAUCCGCGCUGCAUUAGCUAGUUGGUAAGGUAACGGCUUACCAAGGCAACGAUGCAUAGCCGACCUGAGAGGGUGAUCGGCCACACUGGAACUGAGACACGGUCCAGACUCCUACGGGAGGCAGCAGUGGGGAAUCUUCCGCAAUGGGCGAAAGCCGGACAGAGCAACGCCGCGUGAGUGAAGAAGGUCUUCGGAUCGUAAAACUCUGUUAUUAGGAAAGAACAUCUGUGUAAGUAACCGUGCACAUCUUGACGGUACCGAAUCAAAAAGCCACGGCUAACUACGUG